This is a long non-coding RNA of Vicia villosa (hairy vetch), 454 nucleotides long. RefSeq lists it as uncharacterized. NCBI's taxonomy places the organism in Eukaryota, Viridiplantae, Streptophyta, Magnoliopsida, Fabales, Fabaceae. The record is from RefSeq and is a predicted model, not a curated record. The transcript has 2 exons.
AGAAGAUGAGCUUUAUAAACUAUAAAAUCAUAAAACCAUUUAUUACAUGCACAAGUAAAGAAACAUGACUAGAAUUGUUAAGUUUCUAUGCAUUAUGGUUAUCUUGUUUCCUCUAUUUCUUGAUGCAUCAGAUUUUGACCCCAAUGUUAGAUGCUCUAAAAAUGAUGAUUGUCCCAAAGUUGCAUGCUUUUAUCCUUUGAGACCAAUAUGUCAAUUCACCAAGUGUAGAUGUGUUAAAUCGGCCCGUGGAAUAUCUCCUUUGCCCACAUGAUAAUGUGUUACCUUGCCAAAUUCAAAAGAAAGAAUAUUCUAUAUGAGUAGUCAUUUAAUUAUUAUGUAUGCACCCUAAUAAUUUGAAUUUCAUUUUCUUUUUGUCAAGGACCUUAAUGGUAUAGAUUUGUAUUUGAAUAUGAUAGUAAUGGAAUAAAAUAAGGGAGUGAAAAAAAAUUAUUUA